Molecule: long non-coding RNA, 946 nt
Filed under: Homo sapiens (human)
Lineage: Eukaryota; Metazoa; Chordata; Mammalia; Primates; Hominidae
Description: non-protein coding lnc-RAD23B-18:1
Source: RNAcentral
GCCAAAGGAAUAAAGAAUGUCCCAUACAGUAUCUAUGUGCAGUUGUCCAGAAAACGUAAUGAGGAUGAAGAUCCUCAUUAAGUAAGUUGUAUACUUUGGUUGCCUAUGUACCUGCUACCGCUCUCAAGAAUCUACAGACAGUCAACGUGGAUGAGAACUAACCAGUGAUUGUCAAAUAUAUCAAAGUUAUAAAAUUGCGGACUAUGCUUCUAAAUUAUGUACCACACUGCUGCAUUGAUUCAGGCCUUUGUUUGAAGAAUGUAUUGAGAUAUUGAGGGAAGCUGGCAUAUGAAGUGGAGAAGGAGGCAGAACUGGCCCUACAUGUGCACACACGAACACUGCCUUCUACUGAGAUUGCAAGGUGCCAUGGAAGUAUCCUGGGUCUUUGUAUGCAGCCUAGAAAGGAGGACUUUAUAAACUGCAUAACAUCUUCUGCUCUUUCCCAGGUCUUCGGGAUAUAAUUCAAUUUCAUGAUGCAAUUAAGAAAGAAGUCUAAACCAAAGGACACUUACCGCACUGCAGCAACAUGUGGCUAUUUAUCUAGCGUGAUUUCACAGAGAAUUUUUAGGUCAUCCAGGGUUUCUGUGCCUGUAGUUUUUCAUCUCUCAAAAUGGGAUUCCUGACUCAUAGUGUGGGGCGAGGCUGAAAAUGCAUGGUAUAUAUGGAAAUGCUUUCUAACUGGAAGGUGACUAAGGACACAGGUACUGUGGUGUGGUCCUCAGAGCAAAUCCUUUGUGCUUCUUUCUUUUUUAUUAUACUUUAAGUUCUGGGGUACAUGUGCAGAACGUCCAGUUUUUGUUACAUAGGUAUGCAUGUAUAGGUAUGCGUGUGUCAUGGUGGUUUGCUGUAACCAUCAACCUGUCAUCUACAUUAGGUAUUUCUCUUAAUGCUAUCCCUCCCCUAGCCCCCCACCCCCUGACAGGCCCCAGUGUGUGAUGUUCCACUC